UAAUACGGGGGGGGCAAGCGUUGUUCGGAAUUACUGGGCGUAAAGGGCUCGUAGGCGGCCAACUAAGUCAGACGUGAAAUCCCUCGGCUCAACCGGGGAACUGCGUCUGAUACUGGAUGGCUUGAGUUCGGGAGAGGGAUGCGGAAUUCCAGGUGUAGCGGUGAAAUGCGUAGAUAUCUGGAGGAACACCGGUGGCGAAGGCGGCAUCCUGGACCGACACUGACGCUGAGGAGCGAAAGCCAGGGGAGCAAACGGG
This 256-nucleotide ribosomal RNA is filed under the name uncultured archaeon. RNAcentral's name for it is "partial 16S ribosomal RNA". It matches the Rfam family "Bacterial small subunit ribosomal RNA", at positions 521 to 776 of the family's 1533-position model. The record is from RNAcentral.